Molecule: ribosomal RNA, 163 nt
Filed under: uncultured bacterium
Lineage: Bacteria
Description: partial 16S rRNA
Rfam family: Bacterial small subunit ribosomal RNA
Source: RNAcentral
UAGGGAAUCUUCCACAAUGGACGCAAGUCUGAUGGAGCAACGCCGCGUGUGUGAUGAAGGGUUUCGGCUCGUAAACACUGUUGUAAGAGAAGAAUGACAUUGAGAGUAACUGUUCAAUGUGUGACGGUAUCUUACCAGAAAGGAACGGCUAAAUACGUGCCAG